UACAUGUGGUGCAAGCGUUGUUCGGAAUUACUGGGCCUAAAGGGUGCGUAGGCGGUGUCGUCAGUCUGGGGUGAAAUCCUGCGGCCCAACCGUGGGACUGCCUCGGAUACUGCGAUGCUUGAGUGCGUGAGGGGUGAUCGGAACGCGUGGUGUAGCGGUGAAAUGCGUAGAUAUCACGCGGAAGGCCAACGGCGAAGGCAGAUCACUGGCGCGCAACUGACGCUGAGUGCACGAAAGCGUGGGGAGCAAACAGG
This 254-nucleotide ribosomal RNA is filed under the name uncultured bacterium. Its description in RNAcentral is "partial 16S ribosomal RNA". It matches the Rfam family "Bacterial small subunit ribosomal RNA", at positions 524 to 776 of the family's 1533-position model. The record is from RNAcentral.